This 497-nucleotide ribosomal RNA is filed under the name uncultured bacterium. RNAcentral's name for it is "partial 16S ribosomal RNA". It matches the Rfam family "Bacterial small subunit ribosomal RNA", at positions 28 to 507 of the family's 1533-position model. The record is from RNAcentral.
GAUGAACGCUGGCGGCGUGCCUAAUACAUGCAAGUCGAACGCAUAGCGAAAGGUGCUUGCACCUUUCAAGUGAGUGGCGAACGGGUGAGUAACACGUGGACAACCUGCCUCAAGGCUGGGGAUAACAUUUGGAAGCAGAUGCUAAUACCGAAUAAAACUUAGUGUCGCAUGACACAAAGUUAAAAGGCGCUUCGGCGUCACCUAGAGAUGGAUCCGCGGUGCAUUAGUUAGUUGGUGGGGUAAAGGCCUACCAAGACAAUGAUGCAUAGCCGAGUUGAGAGACUGAUCGGCCACAUUGGGACUGAGACACGGCCCAAACUCCUACGGGAGGCUGCAGUAGGGAAUCUUCCACAAUGGGCGAAAGCCUGAUGGAGCAACGCCGCGUGUGUGAUGAAGGCUUUCGGGUCGUAAAGCACUGUUGUAUGGGAAGAACAGCUAGAAUAGGAAAUGAUUUUAGUUUGACGGUACCAUACCAGAAAGGGACGGCUAAAUACGUG